AGGACGAACGCUGGCGGCGCGCUUAACACAUGCAAGUCGAGCGAGAACCAGGCCUUCGGGCCUGGGGAAAGCGGCGAACGGGUGAGUAACACGUGGGUAACCCACCCUUGGUACCGGGAUAGCCCGAGGAAACUCGGAUUAAUACCGGAUGGCCCAACAGCUUCUCGGAGCGGUUGGAAAAGGUAGCUUCGGCCUCCGACCAAGGACGGGCCCGCGGUGGAUUAGCUUGUUGGUGAGGUAACGGCUCACCAAGGCUUCGAUCCAUAGCUGGUCUGAGAGGACGAUCAGCCACACUGGGACUGAGACACGGCCCAGACUCCUACGGGAGGCAGCAGUGGGAAUCUUGCGCAAUGGGCGAAAGCCUGACGCAGCGACGCCGCGUGGGGAAGAAGGCUUUCGGGUUGUAAACCCCUUUCAGGAAGGACGAAGCCACUCGGGUUAAUAGCCCAGAGGUGACGGUACUUCCAGAAGAAGCCCCGGCUAACUACGUGCCAGCAGCCGCGA
Molecule: ribosomal RNA, 504 nt
Filed under: uncultured bacterium
Lineage: Bacteria
Description: SSU rRNA
Rfam family: Bacterial small subunit ribosomal RNA
Source: RNAcentral